This 1101-nucleotide ribosomal RNA is filed under the name uncultured bacterium. Its description in RNAcentral is "bacterial SSU rRNA". It matches the Rfam family "Bacterial small subunit ribosomal RNA", at positions 8 to 1104 of the family's 1533-position model. The record is from RNAcentral.
AGAGUUUGAUCCUGGCUCAGAUUGAACGCUGGCGGAAUGCUUUACACAUGCAAGUCGAGCGGCAGCGCGGGGCAACCUGGCGGCGAGCGGCGAACGGGUGAGUAAUGCAUCGGAACAUGUCCAUUUGUGGGGGAUAGCCCGGCGAAAGCCGGAUUAAUACCGCAUACGCCCGAGAGGGGAAAGCCGGGGACCGCAAGGCCUGGCGCGAAUGGGUUGGCCGAUGCCCGAUUAGCUAGUUGGUGAGGUAAAGGCUCACCAAGGCGAUGAUCGGUAGCUGGUCUGAGAGGAUGAUCAGCCACACUGGGACUGAGACACGGCCCAGACUCCUACGGGAGGCAGCAGUGGGGAAUUUUGGACAAUGGGGGCAACCCUGAUCCAGCCAUUCCGCGUGAGUGAAGAAGGCCUUCGGGUUGUAAAGCUCUUUUGUCCGGAACGAAACGGGGCGCGUGAAUAUCGCGUCCUACUGACGGUACCGGAAGAAUAAGCACCGGCUAACUACGUGCCAGCAGCCGCGGUAAUACGUAGGGUGCGAGCGUUAAUCGGAAUUACUGGGCGUAAAGCGUGCGCAGGCGGUUUUGUAAGCCAGAUGUGAAAGCCCCGGGCUUAACCUGGGAAUGGCAUUUGGGACUGCAAGGCUUGAGUGCGGCAGAGGAGACUGGAAUUCCUGGUGUAGCAGUGAAAUGCGUAGAUAUCAGGAGGAACACCGAUGGCGAAGGCAGGUCUCUGGGCUGACACUGACGCUCAUGCACGAAAGCGUGGGGAGCAAACAGGAUUAGAUACCCUGGUAGUCCACGCCCUAAACGAUGUCGACUGGUUGUUGGGGGUUUGACACUCUCAGUAACGAAGCUAACGCGUGAAGUCGACCGCCUGGGGAGUACGGCCGCAAGGUUAAAACUCAAAGGAAUUGACGGGGACCCGCACAAGCGGUGGAUUAUGUGGAUUAAUUCGAUGCAACGCGAAAAACCUUACCUACCCUUGACAUGUCCGAGAGCCGAGAGAGAUCACGGUGUGCCCGAAAGGGAAUCGGAACACAGGUGCUGCAUGGCUGUCGUCGGCUCGUGUCGUGAGAUGUUGGGUUAAGUCCCGCAACGAGCGCAACCC